AUUGAACGCUGGCGGCAGGCCUAACACAUGCAAGUCGAACGGUAACAGGAAACAGCUUGCUGUUUCGCUGACGAGUGGCGGACGGGUGAGUAAUGUCUGGGAAACUGCCUGAUGGAGGGGGAUAACUACUGGAAACGGUAGCUAAUACCGCAUAACGUCGCAAGACCAAAGAGGGGGACCUUCGGGCCUCUUGCCAUCGGAUGUGCCCAGAUGGGAUUAGCUAGUAGGUGGGGUAACGGCGCACCUAGGCGACGAUCCCUAGCUGGUCUGAGAGGAUGACCAGCCACACUGGAACUGAGACACGGUCCAGACUCCUACGGGAGGCAGCAGUGGGGAAUAUUGCACAAUGGGCGCAAGCCUGAUGCAGCCAUGCCGCGUGUAUGAAGAAGGCCUUCGGGUUGUAAAGUACUUUCAGCGGGGAUGAAGGGAGUAAAGUUAAUACCUUUGCUCAUUGACGUUACCCGCAGAAGAAGCACCGGCUAACUCCGUG
RNAcentral lists this ribosomal RNA (490 nucleotides) under uncultured bacterium. Its description in RNAcentral is "partial 16S ribosomal RNA". It matches the Rfam family "Bacterial small subunit ribosomal RNA", at positions 30 to 507 of the family's 1533-position model. The record is from RNAcentral.